This 405-nucleotide unclassified non-coding RNA is filed under the name Hevea brasiliensis (rubber tree). Lineage: Eukaryota; Viridiplantae; Streptophyta; Magnoliopsida; Malpighiales; Euphorbiaceae. The record is from RNAcentral.
AGAAUUCAUUGUAUCCAAACUCUAUGUAAGAGUUUAUUCUGCCCCCCCUUCCCCCCAGGCCUGUUCCUCCCACUUCUUUUCCUUUCUUUUCAAUUUCUCUGCUUGCAUAAUAAAUACCUAUAUGUUGUUAAAUAUAGGCUUUCACAAUCAUAGUUGCUUACAGGAAGAUUGUUAAACAGUGUUUAUUUUAGUGCUUUGGUUUGAAUUAUGUGGAUCAACUCUUGGUUUCUUUUGUUUUAGUUAGAUGCAGAUCAGUCUUUACUCCCCUGUGUAUCAUAAACUAAAACUGAAUAGGCAAGCCUAGGAAAUUUGAUUUGUCUGGUUCAGUUUCUUUUAGCUAUGAUUUCUUUCACAUCAAAUUUGUUGAAAAAUUGUAGUUGGUUUAUUUUUAUUUCUUAAGAACCA